This is an RNA transcript of Hippopotamus amphibius kiboko, 2206 nucleotides long. It is a transcript of the gene named signal recognition particle 14, with no coding region annotated. The record is from RefSeq and is a predicted model, not a curated record. The transcript has 4 exons. Lineage: Eukaryota; Metazoa; Chordata; Mammalia; Artiodactyla; Hippopotamidae.
GUUGGGGGUUAUGCUGACGAAGCGGAGCCGGCAGCGCCAGGAUGGUGCUGCUGGAGAGUGAGCAGGUAUAGCCAGAGCGGGCCGGCUGAGGGACCGAUACUGUUGUUCCUGACGGAGCUGACCAGGCUCUUCCAGAAGUGCCGGUUGUCGGGCAGCGUGUUCAUCACCCUGAAGAAGUAUGAUGGUCGAACUAAACCCAUUCCAAGGAAAGGUCCUGUGGAGGGCUUUGAGCCCUCAGACAACAAGUGUCUGUUAAGAGCUACUGAUGGGAAGAAGAAGAUCAGCACUGUGGUGAGUUGGAUUCCUAAUACUCCUAAUUUUGGAGCUUUAAUACUUGAACUUAACUGAGGUUGGGGUAUAUCUGAACCAGGUUUUGUUUUUAGGUUUUAGUUCUUAAAUGAAGCCUAGUGUGUAGCUCCCCUAGGUUUUGGGAUCAGGGUCUUCUUUUAUUUCCUUAGUAAUAGAAAACCCAAGAGCAAAAUUAACAUGAAGAAGGUAGGAGUCAAACACUUCUUAGAAAUAAAAUUAACAUAUUGGUCCUUACUCAAGAGUAGCACUGUAAGAAGCAGUUGGCAUGUUUGAUUCCUUAUUCCCUUACUGUGCUGGGCCUUCAGUGAAGUUUCUUGGUAUCAGAUGCUUUUACUUCUUCUUCUUUUUUUUUUUUAGAUGCUUUUACUUCUAAGCUGAUUAUUCUUUUAUCUUUGUGGUUCAUGUACCAAACACCUAUUACAUUAGGCUUUGUAUUUGAGAGUGUAUAAUUUAGUCAAGGGUCCUAGUGUUCCCUUUCAAAGUGGAGGGUGAAUGCCACAAAGCAAGAGACUCCUUGGAUUCCAAACGAAAACUUCUUUAUUCUGCUGGGGCAGAACCAGACUGCCCUCUAAUCACAUCAGCAUAGGAUAUUCAUGAGAAUGUAGGCCAUAAUUAGUUGAUAAGUCUCUCAUUACCAGUUAUCUUAAGAAGACUUUUAUUACAGUAAAGCAAAUUUACGUGGCUUUUAAAAAUAAAGUUGGGUGUCAUGAAAUACAGAAAACUAAGGAAUCUUCAGAGGUAAAAUUUCUCGUUGUGUAGCUUGCAUUUUGCUUAAAUGGGCCUGAAUUAAUGGUAGGUUUAAAUAAGAUGAGGUGGGAGUAAUUUAAAUGUAUCUUGCAUAAAAGCUAAUACUAAGUCCUUUGACAUCUCUCAGAACCCUUAGAAAAAGUCAGUGCCAUGUGUAAGAGAUUUCAACAGAGGCGAGAAGCAUAGCUUGUUACGGAGCCCACUUCUGCUUCUUUCCUGUUUUGGUACAAUUCUCAAAGUGCAGAGCUACUGUGCUUGUCCCUCAGGCAGAGGAAAGUGGAGUAGAAAAAUAGCUUUUAGUGUAUUAUGAUCCCUGCAAUUGGGAAGAAAUAUUUUUAAAGACUAGGAUUUGUUUUCAUGAGGCUUUUGAGUUAUUGGGUGAGGCCCAUGAUUCCUGUGUGGAUAAUGGGUGACCUUUUCCCCCUUCUUUUCCAGGUGAGCUCCAAGGAAGUGAAUAAGUUUCAAAUGGCUUAUUCAAACCUACUGAGAGCUAACAUGGAUGGCCUGAAGAAGAGGGACAAAAAGAGCAAGAGUAAGAAGAGCAAAGCAGCGCAGUGAAGGGCACCAGAUUUCUCGCUUUCACCAACUAACCACUGAAUUGCUAUUUUUCCUUUGGUUUUUACUUUUGGCCACAAGGCUGGGUUUCUGAUUUCCCUACAAUAACUGUUUUCAUGUGAGAUUAGGGUCAUUUUUGGAUGGAAGAAGGGCUGCAGUGUUUACAGGGUAGUUAUAAGACGCCAGUUUGUUUUAGAUCUGGCUAAGCGGUCUGUGUUGUAUGGUUGUAUAUUCCUGGAUAAUAGUUUAUAGUCUCUGUAGCCAUCUGUGAAGAGCACUGUAUCAUUAAACCUGUAUUUAUCAGCACUGACCAUCUUUUAUUCCUUUUCCUACCCCGUAAAAAGUUUCUGGCAAUAGCUCCUCAUUCUGGAAUGAUAGGCUUUCGGCCCUGUCUUACAGGUUACUAGAAUUGAAACCUGACAAUUUUAUAAAAAGUUAUUUCAUGGGUAUUUUUCCCAACUGGCUGUAUAAUUUUAUCAUCAUAGUUCCUUUAGCAAAUUUGAACGAGUUCUUGUAGCCAAAUGAGAGUUUGCUUAACCAAACUGAGGAUAAGAUCAUUACAAAAUCAAGAAUAAAGAUUCCAAGUUAAUGAUGA